AUGGCUGGAAGUGAGCCAACCCAGCUGACUGUGAGCCUACUGCAUGAAAGUGGGGGAAGCUUUUCAGAGACGGAGAUUCAACCUGAAGACCAAGACGAGGAACUGCAAAUGACACUGAGAAGUCAUAACACUUUGGGGGACCUCUACCCCAGCAUGAUCAGUCGAAUAGAAACGGCCUGGCAUCGAAAUAAUGUGUCUCAGGCUGCUGACGCUGUGCUGACCAAGUACCGCAAAUGGCGAAAGCAUUCAAGAAGCAAUAUCAGCAUCAACACUUCAAUUGUUUCACUGCAGCAUAGCAAGGAAAGGCAGAUGACCAGCAGCAUUCUGCUCCCGGAAGACCUCCCAGAAAGAGGGCAGUACACAAGGGCUGAAUAUUUGCCACGGUCUCCUUUGAAGAUGGUACAUAAGCUGCAGGACAGGAUGGCACAACAGCAGUUGCCUGGUAGGCAGACGAGCUCACAGACAAGAGAGCAGCACAAGCCUAUCCUCUCGAUGGACUUUUAUGAGCCACCUGAGACUUCAAGGCCACAAAAAAUCUUGCUUAACAAGACCUUCUCUGUGCCUGAUUUGACCCUUCUAGGAGAACAGUCCUAUUCCUAUCAUGGGAGUCCUUCACGGCCUUGCUAUCCCACUGCAAACGCAGCCUUGCAGAGUUCUCUUUGGAAUAAAAGGCUUUCCCUGUCUGCACACAAACAGCAGGCUGCUGAAGGCUCUGUGUUUGCAUCAGAAAACAAUGCUGUUAAUGACAGACAUGUCUAUAGCUCCCCAGUCAGACAAAGUCCAUCGAAGAUGAGGAUGUUGACCAGCUUCAGUGGUUCACCUAGAUCCUUUUACAGAAGCCCCAAAGAAUCACGUAGAGAAAGCUUUUCAAGAGAGACUGCACAGUCUUCAUCAGUGUCAACAUUUCUGUCCUCCCCUUUGCAAAAACCUACUGGGAACAGGAUACUCUACCCUCAACACUCCAACCACACUCUCCAGCUGCCUUCACUUCAGUCAGCUAGUCCAGAAGGUCGUGUCAGGCUCCGAAGGCAUCUUUUCUGCGAUUCAUCCCAGCCAGUACUCAGUACUUCCCACUCACCAAAGCAGAUCGAUGAAGACUUUAAAAAACUGUACCACAAGUUUGUAUGUCAGAACAAGUCUUUCUAUAAUAUCCCUCCCUGUCGUCUCUGUGCUGAACGCUCUAGAGCCAACCAAAGUCACUCGUCCUCGGUGCUGGCUGCACUGGCCUUGUCACCUCACCGCUCUGUCUUGAGGAAGCGCCAAAGAGAGUCAGGCUCGGACAGCCGCCCCCACUCUAAGCGCUCCAGGGAAGAGUAUUAUACAUACUCCCCAGGCUCCAAACGUCGUGAGAAUGAAGUGCUGGGGCACUGUCUUCCUUCAUCUCAGCUUGAGCAUCAUCAUGACCGUAAACGCAGUGUGUUUCAAAAUGUCGGUACCCAGCACCACUCAGCAGAUGCCAGGAGGAUUCAAGGUCUGACUUUGUCUGGCUACGGUACGGCUCUCCCACAAUGUCUUACUUAUUGCAUGCUGUUUCUACUGUUUAUCUGCUUUAUAAUGGCCUUUGGUUUAUUGUUGUGCUUUAACAGGUAUGUGAGUGUAGAGCAGCACACAGCUACUGCCACAGGUGCAGGAAAUGGUGAAAACAAACCAGUCAUGGGCAAAACCUGCUCAGAGACGUUCAUACAAGUCAGACUGGAGGGAAAAAACACAAUAUUUCAGUUCAUAUUUUAUGAUCCAACCAAGUUCAAGUGUUGUGUAGUAGUCAGAUAUUUCCAGUACAGGUAUUGGAUUAUUAGUGCACAAAGGAGCAUUUGACAGUUGUUGCAGUUUAAGCUCAAGAAAUUUUAAUAAUGUAACAAAGCUAUUAAGGUGUUAAAUUUAAGCGCUCGUUUAUUUAGUUUGUGUUUUUGUUUUAGUCCUGUGGAGGCUGGUUAUGCGUUUGUUAGCUCAGUAUUUGUGAAUCAUUAAAAUAAAACCCAGUUGUUUGUUUCUCA
Betta splendens (Siamese fighting fish) is the source of this 1994-nucleotide long non-coding RNA. Ensembl lists it as uncharacterized. NCBI's taxonomy places the organism in Eukaryota, Metazoa, Chordata, Actinopteri, Anabantiformes, Osphronemidae. The record is from Ensembl.